AUAGCGUAUAUUAAAGUUGUUGCAGUUAAAACGUCCGUAGUCAAAUUUUAGUCUUUAGAUGAGGUGGCCUGGUCUUCAUUGAUCAAGCUCGCUUUUAUCGAGACUUUUUUUCUGGUUAUGCUAUGAAUGACUUCGGUUGUUUAUAGUCUCUAGCCAGAUGAUUACCAUGAGCAAAUCAGAGUGUUUAAAGCAGGCUUUCAAGCUUGAAUGUGUUAGCAUGGAAUAAUGAAAUAUGACUUUAGUCCCUAUUUCGUUGGUUCAGGAACUUAAGUAAUGAUGAAUAGAAACGGUUGGGGACAUUUGUAUUUGGUCGCUAGAGGUGAAAUUCUUGGAUUGAC
This 338-nucleotide ribosomal RNA is filed under the name uncultured eukaryote. RNAcentral describes it as "SSU rRNA". It matches the Rfam family "Eukaryotic small subunit ribosomal RNA", at positions 594 to 929 of the family's 1831-position model. The record is from RNAcentral.